UACAGGGGGUGCAAACGUUGCUCGGAAUCAUUGGGCGUAAAGCGCACGUAGGCGGUCUGUUAUGUCGGAUGUGAAAGCCCCGGGCUCAACCCGGGAAGUGCACUCGAUACUGUCGAGCUAGAGUAUCGGAGAGGUUGGUGGAAUUCUCGGUGUAGAGGUGAAAUUCGUAGAUAUCGAGAGGAACACCGGUGGCGAAGGCGGCCUGCUGGGAUCGAGCUGACGCUGAGGCGCGACAGCGUGGGGAGCAAACAGG
This 253-nucleotide ribosomal RNA is filed under the name uncultured bacterium. RNAcentral describes it as "partial 16S ribosomal RNA". It matches the Rfam family "Bacterial small subunit ribosomal RNA", at positions 524 to 776 of the family's 1533-position model. The record is from RNAcentral.